RNAcentral lists this ribosomal RNA (1346 nucleotides) under uncultured bacterium. Its description in RNAcentral is "bacterial SSU rRNA". It matches the Rfam family "Bacterial small subunit ribosomal RNA", at positions 28 to 1381 of the family's 1533-position model. The record is from RNAcentral.
GACGAACGCUGGCGGCGUGCUUAACACAUGCAAGUCGAACGGAAAGGCCCUGCUUUUGUGGGGUGCUCGAGUGGCGAACGGGUGAGUAACACGUGAGUAACCUGCCCUUGACUUUGGGAUAACUUCAGGAAACUGGGGCUAAUACCGGAUAGGAGCUCCUGCUGCAUGGUGGGGGUUGGAAAGUUUCGGCGGUUGGGGAUGGACUCGCGGCUUAUCAGCUUGUUGGUGGGGUAGUGGCUUACCAAGGCUUUGACGGGUAGCCGGCCUGAGAGGGUGACCGGCCACAUUGGGACUGAGAUACGGCCCAGACUCCUACGGGAGGCAGCAGUGGGGAAUAUUGCACAAUGGGCGGAAGCCUGAUGCAGCAACGCCGCGUGCGGGAUGACGGCCUUCGGGUUGUAAACCGCUUUCGCCUGUGACGAAGCGUGAGUGACGGUAAUGGGUAAAGAAGCACCGGCUAACUACGUGCCAGCAGCCGCGGUGAUACGUAGGGUGCGAGCGUUGUCCGGAUUUAUUGGGCGUAAAGGGCUCGUAGGUGGUUGAUCGCGUCGGAAGUGUAAUCUUGGGGCUUAACCCUGAGCGUGCUUUCGAUACGGGUUGACUUGAGGAAGGUAGGGGAGAAUGGAAUUCCUGGUGGAGCGGUGGAAUGCGCAGAUAUCAGGAGGAACACCAGUGGCGAAGGCGGUUCUCUGGGCCUUUCCUGACGCUGAGGAGCGAAAGCGUGGGGAGCGAACAGGCUUAGAUACCCUGGUAGUCCACGCUGUAAACGGUGGGUACUAGGUGUGGGGUCCAUUCCACGGGUUCCGUGCCGUAGCUAACGCUUUAAGUACCCCGCCUGGGGAGUACGGCCGCAAGGCUAAAACUCAAAGGAAUUGACGGGGCCCCGCACAAGCGGCGGAGCAUGCGGAUUAAUUCGAUGCAACGCGUAGAACCUUACCUGGGUUUGACAUGGAUCGGGAGUGCUCAGAGAUGGGUGUGCCUCUUUUGGGGUCGGUUCACAGGUGGUGCAUGCCUGUCGUCAGCUCGUGUCGUGAGAUGUUGGGUUAAGUCCCGCAACGAGCGCAACCCUUGUUCACUGUUGCCAGCACGUUAUGGUGGGGACUCAGUGGAGACCGCCGGGGUCAACUCGGAGGAAGGUGGGGAUGACGUCAAGUCCUCAUGCCCCUUAUGUCCAGGGCUUCACGCAUGCUACAAUGGCUGGUACAGAGAGUGGCGAGCCUGUGAGGGUGAGCGAAUCUCGGAAAGUCGGUCUCAGUUCGGAUUGGGGUCUGCAACUCGACCUCAUGAAGUCGGAGUCGCUAGUAAUCGCAAAUCAGCAACGCUGCGGUGAAUACGUUCCCGGGGCU